RNAcentral lists this ribosomal RNA (779 nucleotides) under uncultured bacterium. Its description in RNAcentral is "bacterial SSU rRNA". It matches the Rfam family "Bacterial small subunit ribosomal RNA", at positions 1 to 773 of the family's 1533-position model. The record is from RNAcentral.
UAGAGUUCCCUUCAGGAUCAGAUUGAACGCUGGCGGCAGGCCUAACACAUGCAAGUCGAACGGUAGCACAGAGGAGCUUGCUCCUUGGGUGACGAGUGGCGGACGGGUGAGUAAUGUCUGGGAAACUGCCCGAUGGAGGGGGAUAACUACUGGAAACGGUAGCUAAUACCGCAUAACGUCGCAAGACCAAAGAGGGGGACCUUCGGGCCUCUUGCCAUCGGAUGUGCCCAGAUGGGAUUAGCUAGUAGGUGGGGUAACGGCUCACCUAGGCGACGAUCCCUAGCUGGUCUGAGAGGAUGACCAGCCACACUGGAACUGAGACACGGUCCAGACUCCUACGGGAGGCAGCAGUGGGGAUUAUUGUUCACUGCCCGCCAGCCUGAUGCAGCCAUGCCGCGUGUAUGAAGAAGGCCUUCGGGUUGUAAAGUACUUUUCAGCGAGGAGGAAGGCGUUGAGGUUAAUACCGCCAGCAAUUGACGCUCCUCGCAGAAGAAGCACCGGCUAACUCCGUGCCAGCAGCCCGCGGUAAUACGGAGGGUGCAAGCGUUAAUCGGAAUUACUGGGCGUAAAGCGCCCCCCCCCCCUCUGUCAAGUCGGAUGUGAAAUCCCCGGGCUCAACCUGGGAACUGCAUCCGAAACUGGCAGGCUAGAGUCUUGUGGAGGGGGGUAGAAUUCCAGGUGUAGCGGUGAAAUGCGUAGAGAUCUAGAGGAAUACCGGUGGCGAAGGCGGCCCCCUGGACAAAGACUGACGCUCAGGUGCGAAAGCGUGGGGAGCAAAC